This is a long non-coding RNA of Hylaeus anthracinus, 4128 nucleotides long. RefSeq lists it as uncharacterized. The record is from RefSeq and is a predicted model, not a curated record. NCBI's taxonomy places the organism in Eukaryota, Metazoa, Arthropoda, Insecta, Hymenoptera, Colletidae. The transcript has 4 exons.
AAUGGAAUCGAGUAAUAUUUAAAUAAAUACUUUUAAUUUUAUGCAAAUUUCAUACAAAACAAAUAAGUUAAGGACUAUACGUGUCGUGCGAUAAAAUCGCGAAUACAUGUUCUCAGGAAUAAUGAAUUCGAUGGCUAAUACUGAUUGUGAGUUUUGACUAGUGACACAAACUUAGCAGUGAUUCAAAGACUUAUAUAUUAAACAUUAAUCAAGCCAGAUACAUUGUCGGCGUAGUCGGACAACUUUGAAUAACUUAAGUUCCAACGAUUAUGGCACAUCGUGGCGAUGAACGUGUCGAAAUUACGAUAUAGAUGCAGCGCGAUAUUACAUGGAAUCAUAGUGUGUGCGCGCGCGCGAUGAAGAAUUAGUGAUUCCAUUUUGGACGUGUCCUGGACGAAACCCUGACGAGAAUAGCGUCUCCUUUGAUGAAAAAGCUCGUAUCAAAGGCUGUGACACGUGAAAACACCCAUCCGUGGCUGGUACGACGUUAUUUUGUUAUCAGUCCGAGUAAUCAAGGGAGAAUCGAUUUCCUUCUCGGCAACGUUCAACCGUUGUUCCUUGAAUUCCAAAACGUCCCACGCGAAUCCGCACGGCGCAUAUCGCGCGCCAAUAGUGUUUUCCGUCGAGCAAUGCCCUAUCGGGAAACUUGGCUGAAAAGCCUUUUCUUCCAGUUCACGGCACCCAUCUCACGGAAGAGUGGAAACUUCGUUUCCGUCCAUUCGUCGGCUCGUUUCUUACGAAAGCGGACAAAGAGGAUGAAGCAUAUACAGAGGAAGAAGGAGAGACAAUUUUCUCUGUGCAACAAUUUUCCCUUCUGCGAGUGUUUCACUUUCUGCCCCACUGGAGGACGCCUCUGUGACCGUGCGAACAUCGGCUGAAGGAACCGUUGCUGCCCUUCGAACUGUUGCUCCCAGAGCUCGACACACUUUCGGACCUCUUGAUGGUCCUCUUCGUCGGGUCCAGUAACCGGUCCAGCAUCUGACGGAUCGUGCUGUGUUUGCGGUUGAACGGAUUGGUGUACAUCUUCGAACGCUUCGUAGUCUGAUCUACUUUCCAAAAUUUCUUUUCGAAACUACCCAACCACUUUUCCACACUUAGCCUCAACGGAAAGUUUCACGAUGAACUGAUAUUACUCGGCUCGUGGCGUCUAACUGUCGCGAGUGCGCAUAGAAAUAAGACUUGCACCAGUUGCGUCACGCGUAGCGCGCGGUUCGCUCGCUUUACCAAUGAUUGCGUAGCGUCACUCGGGCAACGCUUUAUAUACCCGAGACGCUCGGCGACCUUCGUUCGGAGUCGGGUAACGUCGAUUCGCGCCGACAAAGCGUGCCAAUGGUCCCACAGGUGCAUGAUGCACCGUGCAUCGCCUGUCAGUGUUCAGCGCAGUUAUAGCGCAGGCUUCUAAAUUUCACGUUAAUAACCCUGUGUUUCUAGUUUCUACUGGGUGUACAGAAACUUAACCUUUUCGAUGUUACGCGUUUGUACAUAUAUGCAGUGCAAAAGUUUCCGUACAGAGAGAUUUGUCACCUCAUAUUCCGAAACUGAUAUUUAAAUAUUAAUGGAUAACACUUACAAAUGGAUCAUUUUCUGACUCGACUAUAGCUAAGAACCAGAACUGCGCCAGUGUUUUUGUUGCGAAUCAAUAGAAUAUCAAAUAUCAAGGUCUUAUAAACAGCGUAAUUUUCUUCAUCCACGCACUUGGGCCAAUAUAUCCGUUAAAAAAAUUAAUAUUUCCUUAUGGAAAAAGGAUUCUCGUUAAAAUAUAUCCAAAUGAAUAUGCAAUGUUUGAAAAAAGUAUUAUUAAUAGCGGUCGAGUAAAAAUUUCAGUAAAUAACGAAUCCUUUCCAAAGUAGAAAACUCUUUUAAAGAACGCAACACCCGGUGAUUAUUUAUGUAGCAAAAAAUUUAUAGUGUCGUUUUAAGCUUAGUUCGCAAAUGAAACACUGGCAAAGGACUUAUGCAUGCGACUUCGGAGGAUUUUGAAAUUCAACUGAAUGGAAAUGUCAUCUCGAGUUCAAGGAAUAGUGAAUUCCUUCUAUGUAAAAUUCUUUAAAUGGAAAAAAAAAACUAAACGAACAAAAGAACGGUGAAAAGUAUUAAUCGUUUAAAUUGUUUGAAUAAUCGCCCUAAAACAAUAGUUGUCAAACAACUCUCAAAUUUUACCCUUCCAAGGAACGUGUUGUGUUAGCGUGCAAAAAAUUAAUUCCACCUAAUUGAACUUAUGACGUUCGUGAAACAAUGGCUGCCGACCUUAACAUCUCCAGGUAUUUGACGUCAUCCGUAACACGUGCUUUCUACAAUGGACCAAGUAAACAUAAGAUAAAGUCACUUUACAUCAUUAACCCAAGAUUCUUCGAAGCGUAGAUGCCAUUUAACCGUAAAUAAAGAUUAUCAUUACUUUUUAUAAAGCUGGGGCGAAUGACGCUUGAAAUGUGCGUGGCACCUUCCUUUUAGUCUGUUUCCGGAGAUAAACAAGAGACAAAAAAAAAAAAGAGGAAUCCCAACGAGCAGUUCCAACAUCAUGAUCAUUUGAGAAGAAGGGGAUGUACCGAGGAUAAAAAAAACCAUAAACUGAAAGUGGUUUACUUGAGUUCCUUUCACACGAAUCGUUGCUCAUGGUACUGAUGCUACAAGGCCGUCUGUACCUUCAAUAUGGAUUAACAUAAUUUUAUAAAAACUGACAAACAUAUUAUCCUUAGUAUGUACAUUAAUUUCAAUCAAAGGGUUUUUCACUAGUGAUUUUAGGUCUUAUUCAUUAAUAGAAAACAAACGAUACCUAUGGAUUUUAUCCGAUUGUUUUAUUUUAAAUUAAAAAUUAAUUAUACACCACGAAAAAUAGUAAAGAAAUAUUUGACAAUAAAGAGCUAGCAUAGAUUCAGCAACAGAGCAAUACAAACGGUGGGCAAAAUUUGCGGACUUUCUUUCUGUUCGAAGCACUUAAAAUUCUAGUGAAAGUUGAACAGACGAAAGUUUUUGAGGAAAGUUCUUCCGAUCAUCAUGCAUAUUCGUAUUAAUCAAUGAAACGAUAACAAUUUUGGAAACAUUCUUCCGUUGGCCUCGUUUGAUACAACUUUACGAAUAAUCAAGUGUUGUUGCUGCAACUUUGAACUUAAACUCGUUAAUCGAAUAUUUAGAUUCGCCAUAUAUUUCUCAUACUUUUAUUUUAAUAAAAAUUCCAGAAAGAAAUAGAAAGAAAUUUUAAAGAAGUGUGUAUCUUUAUUUAGAAAACAAGCAAACACUAUACGGUGCGAUUUCGAUGAUUCGUUGAUAUUAUUUGACCUUAAAAAUGAACAUUUUUACAUGUUUGUCAUGGAUUUAAGAAAAGUCAAAUCGAAAGAUAUAUCAUUUGCCUUGAAUGUAAAAUUUCAAUUAAUGAAAAUGUUCUGUUCGAUUCUUUUCCGAUAUAAAUAUGUUUUAAAUAUUCAAAUUAAAUGUUACAUUGGCUUGCUGUUAUUUCGUAAGAAUGGUGCAUAAUAAAUUAAACUCACUCGUACUCGUUCAAUGAAAAUAUGCUAAAUAAAUUCAGUUCCGCGCCUCGUACGAAUUUUAUUCAAAUAGACGUGUAAAUCAGUUACUAUAGGAAAAGGGAAAGAUUUAAAAUUUCUUAAAGAUACACAUUAUAAGUAUAUUCGCCUUUCGAUGAUAACUAAUUGUCUUUUCUUUAAGAAAGUUAUCGACCCAGUUUGUAAACAAUUAUUUAGCGACUUGGGAAUAAUAUAAUAGAACGAUGUGUAUAUUCUGCAGUUUUCAAAUGUAUGACUUGCAAAUACAUAUUGACAAAUAACUAUUACUUUAUUUAUAUAAUUUAUACAUAUAGAUGUAGAUAUACAUGUAUAUUCCUUGCUAUUUUAUCGAUUCUAAACUUUAGAGAUGCUUUAAUGAUUUGGAAAGAAUAAGAUAGGAAGAUAUUCAUGUAUGUAAAUAAAUAAUGUAUAAAUACAUAAUAUAUAAAUACACGUAUAUAAAUAAGUAAUCAUUGUAAGGUUUGUUCAUCAUUUUUUUUAAGUAUAAUUUACAAGUACAUAUUGACAAAUAACUUUUGUUUUAUUUGUUAUAAUUCAUCUAGAUCGAGAUGUAACAAAAAUAAAGUUGAACCGUAUAAUAAAGUUAAUUUCCAUAACAUAUUAAUAU